Canis lupus familiaris (dog) is the source of this 1148-nucleotide non-coding RNA. NCBI's taxonomy places the organism in Eukaryota, Metazoa, Chordata, Mammalia, Carnivora, Canidae. The record is from the annotation of a RefSeq genome assembly.
CCUCCUUACGGCCUCUCUCUCACCAGUACUUUCAGGUGCCUCGUGGAAGCAGAGGCUCAGAACUUAACUGGCUCUCUGUCACGCACCAAGGUAGUCUCCUGCCAACAGAUACAGCCACGAGGUCCCUCUGGGCUUCUUUCCACCAGGCAGGAAGCUGAACCAUGCUGAGUCCCCUUGCUGUCCUGUGUGCCCUCCUGUUUCCCGGUGGCGGAGCAGGACUCAAGCUUGAGCAGACUCCUGUGGUCGUGGUGCACUUGGGCACCUCGGCCACCCUACCGUGCACAGUGGAUAGCUCAGUCAACUACAUCCACUGGUACUUCCACAGGGAGGGUAUUGCCCCUAAGAGACUCCUUUACAUAUACACAUACAGCUCAUCUGUGCAGAGGGAUGCAUCUGUGAACAUGGGCAAAGUCAAUGCCAAGAUGGACAAGAACAAUUACAGCUGUAAACUGUUGGUGCAGAAGCUGGAGAAGAGCGACGAAGGCGUGUACUACUGCGCUGCCUGGGAAGAGCACAGCCACUCCUGCUGCCCUGGCCCCUGCACAAAUAGGUCUCCAUCUCCCAGGGCGAUUCAUGCCUGGCAACUUCCUCUGGCUCUAGGUGUCUGAGGUUGUCCUGGGGACAGUCCUCAGCACCCUGUCUUCUGAGCUGUGACAGACUGGGGAUUAAAGAAUCUGACCACCUCCAUGAAGAAUAUGGUAAUAAAACAUGGUGCAAAUCAUUUCAAGAGUGAAGGACACUCUGGAGAUCUACCACAAAAUGUUCAAAAGCUGAGACUGGGAGUCACCUCCUGAUUCCAGUUUCUAUGUUGCUGCCCCGCCCCCUGCUAGUUACUUGCAGUGGAGAGUCAGGGAGCAGAGGCUCAGGAAGCUGAGGGCUAACUUCUCAGCACCCUCGUGCACUGGCAUGUCUGGGGCUCAGCUCCUGUCGGGGGGACAUGAUCCUCAUGCAGGUGGAUCCAUCAGCCCUAAAGGAGACCUGGAAUCCUCCACCUUCUGCUUCUGCUUAAAUGCUACUGUAUAUGGGACUUGGAGAUCAGAUUCCCUAGACCUCUGUUCUCUCCUCUGUAAAAUGAAGUACUUUAGCAGACAGAAAUGUGGCUGAUUUUUGUGUUAAACAAAAAUUUUACCAAUAAGAUAUCACUAUGU